This 468-nucleotide ribosomal RNA is filed under the name uncultured bacterium. RNAcentral describes it as "partial 16S ribosomal RNA". It matches the Rfam family "Bacterial small subunit ribosomal RNA", at positions 28 to 507 of the family's 1533-position model. The record is from RNAcentral.
GACGAACGCUGGCGGCGUGCCUAACACAUGCAAGUCGAACGGAAAGGCCCUGCUUUUGUGGGGUGCCCGAUUGGCGAACGGGUGAGAUACACGCGUGUAUCCUGCCCAUGACCUUGGGAUAACUUCUGGUAACUGGGGCUAACACCGGAUAGGAGCUCUUGCUCCAUGGUGUGGGCUGGAAAGUUUCGGCGGUUGGGGUUGGACUCGCGGCUUAUCAGCUUGUUGGUGGGGUAGUGGCUUACCAAAGCUUCGACGGGUAGCCGGCCUGGGAGGGUGGCCGGCCACAUUAGGACGGAGAUACGGCCCAGACUCGAACGGGAGGCAGCGGUGGAGAAUAUUACACAGUGGGCGGGGGCCAGGUGCGACAACGCCGCGUGCGGGAAGUCAUGCUUCGGGUUGGGAACCAAUGUCGCCUGAGACGGGGCGUUAGUGACGGUAAUGGGUGAAUAAGCACCGGCUAACUACGUG